This 492-nucleotide ribosomal RNA is filed under the name uncultured bacterium. RNAcentral's name for it is "partial 16S ribosomal RNA". It matches the Rfam family "Bacterial small subunit ribosomal RNA", at positions 28 to 507 of the family's 1533-position model. The record is from RNAcentral.
GAUGAACGCUAGCUACAGGCUUAACACAUGCAAGUCGAGGGGAAACGGCAUCGAAAGCUUGCUUUUGAUGGGCGUCGACCGGCGCACGGGUGAGUAACGCGUAUCCAACCUGCCCAUCACUUGGGAAUAACCUUGCGAAAGUAAGACUAAUGCCCAAUGACAUCCCACGAAGGCAUCCGAAUGGGAUUAAAGAUUUAUCGGUGAUGGAUGGGGAUGCGUCUGAUUAGCUUGUUGGCGGGGUGACGGCCCACCAAGGCAACGAUCAGUAGGGGUUCUGAGAGGAAGGUCCCCCACAUUGGAACUGAGACACGGUCCAAACUCCUACGGGAGGCAGCAGUGAGGAAUAUUGAUCAAUGGGCGAGAGCCUGAACCAGCCAAGUAGCGUGCAGGAUGACGGCCCUAUGGGUUGUAAACUGCUUUUAUAAGGGAAUAAAGUGGGUCACGUGUGACUUUUUGCAUGUACCUUAUGAAUAAGGACCGGCUAAUUCCGUG